Molecule: ribosomal RNA, 465 nt
Filed under: Vreelandella stevensii
Lineage: Bacteria; Pseudomonadati; Pseudomonadota; Gammaproteobacteria; Oceanospirillales; Halomonadaceae
Description: partial 16S ribosomal RNA
Rfam family: Bacterial small subunit ribosomal RNA
Source: RNAcentral
CCUACGGGGAGCAGCAGUGGGGAAUAUUGGACAAUGGGCGAAAGCCUGAUCCAGCCAUGCCGCGUGUGUGAAGAAGGCCUUCGGGUUGUAAAGCACUUUCAGUGGGGAAGAAAGCCUUGGGGCUAAUACCCUCGAGGAAGGACAUCACCCACAGAAGAAGCACCGGCUAACUCCGUGCCAGCAGUCGCGGUAAUACGGAGGGUGCGAGCGUUAAUCGGAAUUACUGGGCGUAAAGCGCGCGUAGGCGGUCUGAUAAGCCGGUUGUGAAAGCCCCGGGCUCAACCUGGGAACGGCAUCCGGAACUGUCAGGCUAGAGUGCAGGAGAGGAAGGUAGAAUUCCCGGUGUAGCGGUGAAAUGCGUAGAGAUCGGGAGGAAUACCAGUGGCGAAGGCGGCCUUCUGGACUGACACUGACGCUGAGGUGCGAAAGCGUGGGUAGCAAACAGGAUUAGAUACCCUAGUAGUC